RNAcentral lists this ribosomal RNA (253 nucleotides) under uncultured bacterium. Its description in RNAcentral is "partial 16S ribosomal RNA". It matches the Rfam family "Bacterial small subunit ribosomal RNA", at positions 524 to 776 of the family's 1533-position model. The record is from RNAcentral.
UACGUAGGGUGCGAGCGUUGUCCGGAUUUAUUGGGCGUAAAGAGCGUGUAGGCGGUUAGGUAGGUCCGUUGUGAAAACUCGAGGCUCAACCUCGAGACGCCGAUGGAAACCAUCUGACUAGAGUCCGGGAGAGGCGAGUGGAAUUCCUGGUGUAGCGGUGGAAUGCGCAGAUAUCAGGAGGAACACCUAAGGCGAAGGCAGCUCGCUGGAACGGUACUGACGCUGAGGCGCGAAAGCGUGGGGAGCAAACAGG